GACGAACGCUGGCGGCGUGCUUAACACAUGCAAGUCGAGCGGAAAGGCCCUGCUUUUGUGGGGUGCUCGAGUGGCGAACGGGUGAGUAACACGUGAGUAACCUGCCCUUGACUUUGGGAUAACUUCAGGAAACUGGGGCUAAUACCGGAUAGGAGCUCCUGCUGCAUGGUGGGGGUUGGAAAGUUUCGGCGGUUGGGGAUGGACUCGCGGCUUAUCAGCUUGUUGGUGGGGUAGUGGCUUACCGAGGCUUUGACGGGUAGCCGGCCUGAGAGGGUGACCGGCCACAUUGGGACUGAGUUACGGCCCAGACUCCUACGGGAGGCAGCAGUGGGGAAUAUUGCACAAUGGGCGGAAGCCUGAUGCAGCAACGCCGCGUGCGGGAUGACGGCCUUCGGGUUGUAAACCGCUUUCGCCUGUGACGAAGCGUGAGUGACGGUAAUGGGUAAAGAAGCACCGGCUAACUACGUG
RNAcentral lists this ribosomal RNA (468 nucleotides) under uncultured bacterium. RNAcentral's name for it is "partial 16S ribosomal RNA". It matches the Rfam family "Bacterial small subunit ribosomal RNA", at positions 28 to 507 of the family's 1533-position model. The record is from RNAcentral.